Pristis pectinata (smalltooth sawfish) is the source of this 283-nucleotide long non-coding RNA. RefSeq lists it as uncharacterized. Lineage: Eukaryota; Metazoa; Chordata; Chondrichthyes; Rhinopristiformes; Pristidae. The record is from RefSeq and is a predicted model, not a curated record. The transcript has 3 exons.
CUCAGCUGGUCAGGCUGCAUCUAUGGAGGGAAAUGAGCAGUCGACGUUUCAUCUGGACUGGGAUCCAUCUGCGAAUGUAAAGACAGUUGUGUUAACCUGUUGAAUCAGCAUUCUGUAUGCGAUAUUUUCAUCGAGCAGUGGUUUUUGCUCCUCCUCUGGGCCCUUAUGGUUAGAAGUUCAUCCAAUAUCUUGACAGAUGAAAGGAUGAUGUAACACCAGUCAUUGGUCAGUGUUGCUUGCGGUGAAGAACCCAAUGUGCGACCAGCAAACUCACCCAUAGCAG